UAGAUGAUUGAUCUUGGUCUGUCCACAUGAAGACCUUAUCUUAUAUUUUAAGCUAUGCUUUUAUGUUAUUUAGUUUUCGAAAAACUCUAGUCUUUGUUGUGUUUCCAAGGGAGCCUUUGUCUUUAUUUCCCUUGUAUUUUCGAGACCUUGUGCAUGUACAAGGCUUCUCCUUUAUAUUCUGGUCGUGGCCCCUUGUAUCAGUAUCCAUCUUUUUAUCAAAAACCUUUGUUUUCUCUUUUCUUCUUGCUUGUCGAGUUGAUUGAGUGUUGGUGUGUAAUAUCCAACUUCUGGUGUGUAAUAUCCAGAGACUAAGGGCUCUAGUUUGGUGUGUCAUAUCCAAUCUAUUGCCUAGGAGUAUCAAGGAGCCUUUCCGCAGCCUCUUGUGUCACCAUUCGAUCCACAUACCUUGAGAAACUUGAGUCUUUUGAUUCGUUUCUGCAAGGAUUAUCCCAUCUGUUCCAGAGCAUCAUCCUAGGAUCUCAUCAAGUGGUAUCAGAGCAACUCUGGAAGGGAAGUGUUUGAUUUUUCUCUCUGAUUUUCGAUUUGAUCUCUUCAUAUUCUGUUGAGAUUUUGAUCGAUUUGUGUUUCUAUUGUUGAAAUCUGUUAGAUCUAAGUGUUUUUGAUCACGAAUCUGGUGAAGUCUCUUCAUAUACUCUUUGAUUUCGUGUUGAUCUGUGUUCCUUGUGAGGAAAUCUAUCGAAUUUGGGUUAAUUAGAUCUUGUUUUGGGUAUUAGACUGUUCGGAUCCUUGUUUAUCAAGUUAUCUGAUUGCUUGAUCUGAAUCUGUUUGUUGAUUGCAGUCGAUCUGUUCUUAUUGUUUUAGAUAUGUUCUUGCUUGAUCUAAAUCUCAUC
This 851-nucleotide long non-coding RNA is filed under the name Brassica napus (rape). RNAcentral describes it as "long non-coding RNA (BNAP_LNC002549)". Lineage: Eukaryota; Viridiplantae; Streptophyta; Magnoliopsida; Brassicales; Brassicaceae. The record is from RNAcentral.